RNAcentral lists this ribosomal RNA (266 nucleotides) under uncultured microorganism. Its description in RNAcentral is "partial 16S ribosomal RNA". It matches the Rfam family "Bacterial small subunit ribosomal RNA", at positions 9 to 264 of the family's 1533-position model. The record is from RNAcentral.
GAGUUUGAUCGUGGCUCAGGAUGAACGCUGGCGGCGUGCCCAAUACAUGCAAGUCGUACGAACAGCGGAAAGUGCUUGCACUUUCCAAGUAAGUGGCGAGCGGGUGAGUAACACGUGAAUAACCUACCUCAAAGUCUGGGAUAACCAUUGGAAACAGUGACUAAUACCGGAUAAAACCUAGUAGCACAUGCUACAAGGUUAAAAGCUGCGUUUGCAGCGCUUUAAGAUGGAUUCGCGGUGCAUUAGUUAGUUGGUGAGGUAAAGGC